This 466-nucleotide ribosomal RNA is filed under the name uncultured bacterium. RNAcentral describes it as "bacterial SSU rRNA". It matches the Rfam family "Bacterial small subunit ribosomal RNA", at positions 1 to 507 of the family's 1533-position model. The record is from RNAcentral.
CACGAGUUUGAUCAUGGCUCAGGAUGAACGCUAGCGGUAUGCUUAACACAUGCAAGUCGUACGGGAGUUUUUAACUCAAGUGGCGGACGGGUGAGUAACACGUGAGAAUUUACCUUUAGGAGGGGGAUAACAAUUGGAAACGAUUGCUAAUACCCCAUAUGCUUUUUUAAGUGAAACGGAUUUAUUCGCCUAAAGAAAAGCUCGCGGCUGAUUAGCUAGUUGGUAAGGUAAUGGCUUACCAAGGCGACGAUCAGUAUCUGGUUUGAGAGGAUGAUCAGACACACUGGAACUGAGACACGGUCCAGACUCCUACGGGAGGCAGCAGGUGGGGAAUUUUCCGCAAUGGGCGAAAGCCUGACGGAGCAAUACCGCGUGAGGGAAGAAAGCCUACUGGGUUGUAAACCUUCUUUUUCAGGGAGGAAAAAAAUGACGUGUACCUGAAGAAUAAGCAUCGGCUAACUCCGUG